AGUGAACGCUGGCGGUAGGCCUAACACAUGCAAGUCGAACGGCAGCACAGUAAGAGCUUGCUCUUACGGGUGGCGAGUGGCGGACGGGUGAGGAAUACAUCGGAAUCUACUUUUUCGUGGGGGAUAACGUAGGGAAACUUACGCUAAUACCGCAUACGACCUACGGGUGAAAGCAGGGGAUCUUCGGACCUUGCGCGAUUGAAUGAGCCGAUGUCGGAUUAGCUAGUUGGCGGGGUAAAGGCCCACCAAGGCGACGAUCCGUAGCUGGUCUGAGAGGAUGACCAGCCACACGGGACGUGAGACACGGCCCGGCCCCCUGCGGGAGGCAGAAGGGGGGAAUAUGGGAAAAUGGGCGCAAGCUUGAACAACCCAUCCCGGGUGGGAGAAAAAGGCCUUGGGGUUGUAAGCCCUUUUUGUGGGGAAAAAAAAGAAGCAGUUAAACCCCCCCUUUUUCGGAGGUAACCAAAAAAAUAAGCACGGGUUAAUUUCGGG
Molecule: ribosomal RNA, 492 nt
Filed under: uncultured bacterium
Lineage: Bacteria
Description: partial 16S ribosomal RNA
Rfam family: Bacterial small subunit ribosomal RNA
Source: RNAcentral